GGGGGUUUAGCUCAGUGGUAGAGUGUGUGCUUAGCAUGCUGGAAGUCCUGGGUUCAAUCCCUAGCACCUCCC
RNAcentral lists this transfer RNA (72 nucleotides) under Camelus ferus (Wild Bactrian camel). It matches the Rfam family "tRNA". From Rfam's summary of the family: Transfer RNA (tRNA) molecules are approximately 80 nucleotides in length. Their secondary structure includes four short double-helical elements and three loops (D, anti-codon, and T loops). Further hydrogen bonds mediate the characteristic L-shaped molecular structure. tRNAs have two regions of fundamental functional importance: the anti-codon, which is responsible for specific mRNA codon recognition, and the 3' end, to which the tRNAs corresponding amino acid is attached (by aminoacyl-tRNA synthetases). tRNAs cope with the degeneracy of the genetic code in two manners: having more than one tRNA (with a specific anti-codon) for a particular amino acid; and 'wobble' base-pairing, i.e. permitting non-standard base-pairing at the 3rd anti-codon position. The record is from Rfam by way of RNAcentral. Lineage: Eukaryota; Metazoa; Chordata; Mammalia; Artiodactyla; Camelidae.